This 367-nucleotide transfer-messenger RNA is filed under the name Clostridia bacterium. It matches the Rfam family "transfer-messenger RNA". From Rfam's summary of the family: Bacterial tmRNA, also known as 10Sa RNA or SsrA, is named for its dual tRNA and mRNA-like properties. Lineage: Bacteria; Bacillati; Bacillota; Clostridia. The record is from RNAcentral.
GGGGGUGCACCGGAUUCGAUUGCCGGUGAGCGAAAAGAUAAGCAUACCGCAGACGGAGUGGCUGCGUUAAAAACAUUCCGCUUAAAUUUAAAUGCAAAUAGUAAUGCAAAAUACGCUCUUGCAGCGUAACUUCGUUUUAUAACGAAUCGUCGCGCCCGAUUUAUCCGUCGGUCGGGGUCGCGGCGUCAUUUAGACGGAACACUCUUGAAAAGAUCGGAAGGUGUCUUGAAAGAGUAUUCAGCCUUCUGCGCAGCGUGACGCGUGUUUACCCGCCCCGCGCUGUUAAGAAAUAAUAGAUAAACUAAGUAUGUAGAAAGUUUUUUGGCAGCCGCGUAAGACGUCGGUUCAACUCCGACCACCUCCACCA